AUUGAACGCUGGCGGCAGGCCUAACACAUGCAAGUCGAACGGUAACAGGAAGCAGCUUGCUGCUUUGCUGACGAGUGGCGGACGGGUGAGUCAUGUCUGGGAAACUACCCGAUGGGGGGGGAUAACUACUGGAAACGGUAGCUACUACCGCAUAACGUCGCAAGCCCAAAGAGGGGGACCUUAGGGCCUCUUGCCAUCGGAGGUGCCCAGAUGGUAUUAGCUAGUAGGUGGGGUAACGGCUCACCUAGGCGACGAUCCCUAGCUGGUCUGAGAGGAUGACGCGCCACACUGGAACUGAGCCACGGUCCAUACUCCUACGGGAGGCAGCAGUGGGGAAUAUUGCACAAUGGGCGCAAGCCUGAUGCAGCCAUGCCGCGUGUAUGAAGAAGGCCUUCGGGUUGUAAAGUACUUUCAGCGGGGAGAAAGGGAGUAAAGUUAAUACCUUUGCUCAUUGACGUUACCCGCAGAAGAAGCACCGGCUAACUCCGUG
RNAcentral lists this ribosomal RNA (490 nucleotides) under uncultured bacterium. RNAcentral describes it as "partial 16S ribosomal RNA". It matches the Rfam family "Bacterial small subunit ribosomal RNA", at positions 30 to 507 of the family's 1533-position model. The record is from RNAcentral.